UUCGACCUCAAAUCAGGUAGGACUACCCGCUGAACUUAAGCAUAUCAAUAAGCCGGAGGAACAAG
RNAcentral lists this ribosomal RNA (65 nucleotides) under Lodderomyces parapsilosis. RNAcentral describes it as "Candida parapsilosis partial 28S ribosomal RNA". The record is from RNAcentral. Lineage: Eukaryota; Fungi; Ascomycota; Pichiomycetes; Serinales; Debaryomycetaceae.